Molecule: long non-coding RNA, 904 nt
Organism: Prosopis cineraria
Lineage: Eukaryota; Viridiplantae; Streptophyta; Magnoliopsida; Fabales; Fabaceae
Exons: 2
Source: RefSeq, a predicted model, not a curated record
UGAAACUUAUGCUAAUAGUUUAUUUGAAGGUUAAGAGGUUGAAUUCUUUUGAUCAAUAGGUUAAAUUUUAUUAGUUUAAAAUUUUGGAAAAAAAUUACAAGAAGUGCCCAUUUCUCUUAUGUUAUUAAAAGAAAAAGCUGUGCCCUGUCUUGUAAUUUUUACAAUUUUCUAAUAGUCAGACUUUUAUUCCCCUCCCCUCUCGGUCAGACGCACAGAAGGAUGAAAAAAAAGUUUCGAGAUCCUUCGACUCAAGCUACACCGGUGCCAGCUCCCUCUGUUCCUCUUCGAUUUUUCCGGCGAGUUCUCGUCGUUUUGCCUCCAGUCAAGUCUUCCCCAUUUUCUUUCCUCUUCUUUUCUUCUCUUUUUCGGCGGUGCACACGCGUUCUGGACCAGAGGAAGAGAGUUGGAAAUUUUUUUUCUUGAUUCCAGUAGCUUCGAACUUCAGAUCCGAAAUAUCCUUCCUAUCAUCUUCCUCUCCGUGGUCUUAUCCUUUAGCUAGUGAUAAUAGCGUGCUUGUCGUCGCCUAGUCAUCUUCCUCGUUCGAUGAUCUGCCUCCUUCACUCGCGGCUGCGUCAUUGCUGGUGGGUGGGAGCUGAUUCAUGGAAGCCGAAAAAACUGGACGGAGCUGCUACUGAUGCUUCUUUUUAUUCUUGGUUUGAUUUUGCUGGCUCUGUUCUUCUUUUUCACAUGAUGCAUCAGAUUUUCCCUCCCCUGUUCAGCUUAAGAUAACGUAGCGGACUGUGUACCUCCAUUAGAUCCUUAAAGACAUUUUGCUUCUGGACUGAAGUUGAGACACCAUUUUGGUUAAUUUCUAUUUUGAUGUAAAUUUAUAAUUCAUAUAUUGUAUUUUUACAAAUAAUGUUUUAGGUGCUCCACAUAGAUUAUAGUUAGAGUCCUGAUUCUA